RNAcentral lists this ribosomal RNA (208 nucleotides) under uncultured bacterium. Its description in RNAcentral is "partial 16S ribosomal RNA". It matches the Rfam family "Bacterial small subunit ribosomal RNA", at positions 568 to 774 of the family's 1533-position model. The record is from RNAcentral.
CGUGUAGGCGGUUUAAUAAGUCAGAUGUUAAAGCCCCCGGCUUAACCGGGGAUUGUCAUUUGAAACUGUUAGGCUUGAGUGCGAGAGAGGGUGGCGGAAUUCCCAGUGUAGCGGUGAAAUGCGUAGAUAUUGGGAAGAACACCAGUAGCGAAGGCGGCUACCUGGCUCGCAACUGACGCUAAUGCGCGAAAGCGUGGGGGAGCAAACA